This 478-nucleotide ribosomal RNA is filed under the name uncultured bacterium. RNAcentral's name for it is "partial 16S ribosomal RNA". It matches the Rfam family "Bacterial small subunit ribosomal RNA", at positions 28 to 523 of the family's 1533-position model. The record is from RNAcentral.
GACGAACGCUGGCGGCGUGCUUAACACAUGCAAGUCGAACGGUAAGGCCCUUCGGGGUACACGAGUGGCGAACGGGUGAGUAACACGUGGGUGAUCUGCCCUGCACUUCGGGAUAAGCCUGGGAAACUGGGUCUAAUACCGGAUAGGACCCUGGGAUGCAUGUACUGGGGUGGAAAGCUUUUGCGGUGUGGGAUGGGCCCGCGGCCUAUCAGCUUGUUGGUGGGGUGAUGGCCUACCAAGGCGACGACGGGUAGCCGGCCUGAGAGGGGAACCGGGCACACUGGGACUGAGAUACGGACCAGACUCCUACGGGAGGCAGCAGUGGGGAAUAUUGCACAAUGGGCACAAGCCUGAUGCAGCGACGCCGCGUGAGGGAUGACGGCCUUCGGGUUGUAAACCUCUUUCAGCACCGACGAAGCGCAAGUGACGGUAGGUGCAGAAGAAGGACCGGCCAACUACGUGCCAGCCGCCGCCGUAA